UAAACCCCAAACCCUAAAC
RNAcentral lists this small nuclear RNA (19 nucleotides) under Arabidopsis thaliana (thale cress). RNAcentral's name for it is "snRNA_17716". The record is from RNAcentral. Lineage: Eukaryota; Viridiplantae; Streptophyta; Magnoliopsida; Brassicales; Brassicaceae.